UACGACUACAUAUCAGGCAUAUCAAUAAGCGGAGGAAAAGAAACUAACAAGGAUUCCCUUAGUAACGGCGAGUGAAGCGGGAAGAGCUCAAAUUUGAAAUCUUCAAGGUUCUACCUUGACGAAUUGUAGUUUAAAGAAGCGUUUUCUGUUAGAUGAGUAGCAAAAGUUCCUUGGAAUGGGACAUCAUAGAGGGUGAGAAUCCCGUAUUUGGUUAUUCAUUCUAGCUUUGUGAUACACUUUCAAAGAGUCGGAUUGUUUGGGAAUGCAGUCCAAAAUGGGUGGUAAAUUUCAUCUAAAGCUAAAUAUUGGCGAGAGACCGAUAGCGAACAAGUACCGUGAGGGAAUGAUGAAAAGAACUUUGAAAAGAGAGUUAAACAGUACGUGAAAUUGUCAAAAGGGAAGCGUUUGACACCAGUGUUGUUUAGUUGAAAAUCAAUUCAAUAGUUUUUGAUUCUAAGUAGUAUUGACUUCAUCAGCUUGCUGCUUUCUUCUCAGAAAUUAUUGAAUGCACUUUUCAGUUAACAAGUCAACAUCAAUUUCUUUUGUUGUAAAAGGGUAAGAGGAAGGUGGCUUACGCUUCGGCGUAAGUGUUUAUAGCCUUUUACCUCUGCAAUUGGAGAGAUUGAGGUACAUGCAGCGUAGACUCCUUCGGGGUUAGAUACACUUGUGCUAAGCUAUAGCCUUGUAUAGACAACUUGUUGACUAUGCUCAGUCAUGUAGCUUACUCGCUGAUGCUAUUUUACCUACGCUUAGGAUGUUGAGUAGCGACAUACGCAC
RNAcentral lists this ribosomal RNA (777 nucleotides) under uncultured Neocallimastigales. RNAcentral's name for it is "partial large subunit ribosomal RNA". It matches the Rfam family "Eukaryotic large subunit ribosomal RNA", at positions 24 to 649 of the family's 3401-position model. Lineage: Eukaryota; Fungi; Neocallimastigomycota; Neocallimastigomycetes; Neocallimastigales. The record is from RNAcentral.